CCGGGCAGUUUCCCCCCGGGAUGAUCUUUCACGGCUCAGCGUCAUGGAGGGAGGGAGGGAGGGAAUCCCCGGCCUCGGAAUGCGCUCGGUGUCGGGUGAAGGAACUGGGAGACAAGAGGAGUAGCUCCGAACUUAGUUCUUCGGGUUCUACCUUCCGUCAGCUGUUCCUGUUCCGACGGGAUCGGCAGGAAGCUGCUGGGUGCCGUUAAGGGAAAAAAAAAAAAAUCCAGCAAAAUUUAGCUGGAAAGUAAAACAAAAGGGAAACUUCAAAAGCAGAUUUGUCGAGUUAUUCUGGAUCACUUUGACAAGCAGUACACGGCAGAACUGGGAAAUGCAUGGAGCAGUGUCAGAGAUGUCCUCACAUCCCCACUGUGCUGGCAGC
Long non-coding RNA from Neopelma chrysocephalum (saffron-crested tyrant-manakin), 382 nucleotides. RefSeq lists it as uncharacterized. NCBI's taxonomy places the organism in Eukaryota, Metazoa, Chordata, Aves, Passeriformes, Pipridae. The transcript has 3 exons. The record is from RefSeq and is a predicted model, not a curated record.